This is a long non-coding RNA of Gadus morhua (Atlantic cod), 4649 nucleotides long. The record is from Ensembl. Lineage: Eukaryota; Metazoa; Chordata; Actinopteri; Gadiformes; Gadidae.
AUGGUCCUCCUCCAGAGUCACGGCUGCCCUACCAGCUCGCCUCCGCUCCAGAAACACGUUCUAGUAAGAAAACACAGCGGUAGUUGGUUAACGCAUGUGAAAGUAACAGCUGUAUUUUGCCCUUUAAGUCAACCAUGUAAUAAAUACAAACUUACGAGGAAUCCUUGUUGGUCGAUUCCUCGUCGUCCUCCAGUGUCUCAGCUCCUCCAGCAGCUCUCCUCAGACAGAGUCCUGGUCUGGAACAAACAGCAGAAGUCUUGCUUCAACAUGUGGCAGGCCCUCCACCAGCUCCUCCACCAGCCCAGGGCCUUCAGCACGGCUCCUCCAUCAGCUCCUUCAGCCAUGGAUUCCUGGUCUGGUUUCAAACACAGUUGUUCUCAGCAGUAAAUCACCUGGGGACGCAACACACCCCACUUCCUGCAUCUGAGGUUCACUUGUAAAAUGGAAGACAAAUUUAAAACACUUAAAUUAGACAACGUCUGCAGAUUGUCGCGUUCAGCAAUUCAUCCACUACGGUCGUAGCAGCACUAGUAACAUUAAUGGCUAAUAUGACUCUUGCAUAACCCCCGUAUGAAUUAACUCACAGCUUGGCACAGAUUUAAAGUCAUAAGAUGAUCAAAACCAGACCUAAACUACCGUGGAUUUUAGUGUUUCAGAUGAGCUUGGUGAUGGUUACCCUCUGGUCCGGUGCUGCAGGCCCCUGGUCUCCAGCCUCAGUCUCCGGUCCACCCUGGCACCACAAGCCUCCGGUCCCCAGCCUCUCAGCCUCGCCUUUCAGCUACAGCAGCAGGUUUAUAUCAGCAUUUGCCCAACAAUAAACGUAUUUGACUCAUUCAAAACCGAGUUACACAAUUAAUUGAACUAUUAUUUGUAACUCAAGGCCAGAAAAGACUUGAGACCAGACAUGAGCAUCCCGUUUUGGGGAAUGAAGACAGAGCAGUCCAUAAGUUUAAAGAAGUGGUUCAGGCCAUGCAUUGAAACUGACCUGAGAAGACUCUACUCACACAGAGCACUGACCUGUUCUGGAGGACUUCUGACAGGAGGUGGAGGUCUGGCGCUGGGUGAGGAGGUGGAGGUCUUGCUCUGGGUGAGGAGGCAGACACCUUGGGACAAACAACAUGUUACCUUUUUAACCUUGUACAGUUCUAGAGUAUCUUCUACUGUAACAUGUGGGAAUGACGGCCAUUAUUUUAGCUUUGAUAUCAUCCAGUUGGUAACUCUGCACCAAAGUCGUUGUUUAACGUCAUUCCAUUGGGUAGGGUUUAACUUCUGUGGCAAUUAAUGACAGCAGAUAUUUAGAACAUACAAAAGCUGAAGUAACAAAGAACACUAAGCAGUAUUGAUAUUAAAUCAAAUAUACUCAGCCAUAUUCAGGUGCUGGGUUCCGUUGAAGAAAUGUCAAAUUAUCUUCCACCAUGAAAUGAUUUUCAGCCUUCCCCGAUGUCAAAUAUGGGCCCGCAAGUAGAACGCUGUUUUGUACGCAAUGAGAGUCCCGCAACGUCAUCGUGGUUAAAAGUACGGCGCAACCAUCGGAAAUUAUCAGCAUAUUGUACAACGUACGUCUCGGUAUGUAUUUAAUAUCAAACUUAAGUUGUUUAAGAUAGGGGCAAUAAUUCCCAAUGGAAACCGACUGAAAAAUAGUUUGUUGGCACCGCCUCGAGGUUACUCAAAUACAUCAAGAACGUUCCGCCAGGUCCCUCAGGGGACUAACUGCCAGGAGGUUUCUUAUGGUUGUCAAGACUACAACGUUCUAUGCUAACCAUUGGGACUAAAUCAAGUGACCGCACUCAAAACCUUCCACGGCGGGAAGCACAACCCGUCCGACUGGAAUCCGAACAUUCCGGCCGGAACCAACCAAAGAAAAAACCGAACCAGCGCCUCACCUUGAGCUGAACGGAGGAAGAUCCUGAAGUCCAGCGAUGGUCUUCAUUAAAACACAGCCAACAGACUUACCUUGAGGAGAUCUGUUUGUUGCUGUUGGUCAUUAAUACUAUUCAGUGUACCUUUACAUUAUUAUGCACCCAGUGUGUACAAGUUAUAUCACUCAAAACAAUACGAAGAACCAAACUACCAUGUACGUCCCACAACAACUUUAAACCUAAAAUCCUGGAAUCAUUCAAUACAAAACCUCUACUUUUUACAAUUAUCUAGAUUAUUCAGGGUACAAACCAUACAGAGCAAAUCUAAACGUUGAGCUCACAGAGAGCCGACCAUAGCCCUGCAAAUUCACCCUGACCGCCUCAUCACCAACAGCAAAUCAUGCCAGCCAGCCAUCACAUGUACAGUCCAGUGGGAAGUGGGCAUCCGAGUGAAAGGACUGCCCAUAAUAAAAAGCAGCCCAAAUCCUGAACUAUCCAACCAUCUUCAUGGCUGAAGGAUUUACAGACUUGACAUUCCAUUGUGUUCUAAUGACUUUAGUCUGCUCCCUCGCUACUUAUAAAACUAUACAUCUCCAUCACUAGAGUGUUGCAUCCUACUCAUGGGGGUGUGGUCUGAGUGAGCAGAGAUGCAUGCUGGGAUACAGUGCUGCCUGAAGUCUUCAGUUCCAUAGACACGCCCCUCAGGAGAAACCAAGUGUUUGAGAAUCUGUCGUGCCAUCAGUUACAUGAGCUGGAAUAUCCUUCAAGAUGGCGCCAGGAUUCUCAGAGGAGAAAUGCCAAGAGGAAGAUGUGUGGGUUCUUCCUCGCAGCCAGUGGAACACAACAACGGUCUUCUUCAGAGUACCAUGGAACACUUUGAAACAUCCUCCUCUUUACACCUUGAAGCCCCAGUGAAGUUUCCUUAUCUCCUCAGCUGAAGAGCACAACUUCAGCUCAAAGAGCGCACUAGCUGGAGUUCCCGGAUUGGUUCUGAUUUAAGGGAACCAAUCGUAUAGCUAGUCCUGUCCGAAACAAUUACAGUUCAGCCUGAGAAGAUGUGCAACUGAGAGCAAGACAAGAUCCAGAGGGCUCUCCAUCAAUCCAACCAGGUAGGAAGAGCCGUCUCAUUACAGGUCUGAAGGUCAUCUUGAAUAUCCAUUUAGGUCCCUUUCCAACGUCAGACUCUCCUUGUGGAAUUCCUUUUGGUGUCCAUCCUCCAUUGAUCCUGAUUGGUGUAGUCCUAGUUUGAUGUCACUGAUCUGAACACGCCGCUUGCAUCCUUUUACACUCGAGUUGGAUACUCUCCUUCCUGCCCAGUGUGUUGGAUCUCGCUCCAGAGCAUCGCUCAGGGCUCUUCAUGUCUACCGGAGGCCCUUAAGUAAACGUGUGGCUGUCCAUCAGGCAUGAUUUAGUUGACCAUUCCAAUAUCCCAAGCCAAUCACACAGACCCCCGUAUGAACAUUAUCACUGUCAAAGCAAGCCGGACACACACACACACACACACACACACACACACACACACACACACACACCCCCAUGCCAGGUGUGAGGGGGAGACACACACAGUAGAACCCUAGUGAUGCUCAAAAAUCUUCCAUCUCAUGUCAAACCCAACACACAUCACUGAGCCAUAAAAGGCCAAACAAUCAUGCAGGGUAAAAACCUCAUAGCAAAUAACAUUCCAUCAUCCCCCCCCCAGCUCUCCUGCCAGGGCACCCAUAACAGAACAACCAAUGUCUCCAGAGACGUAAAUUAUGUACAACAUUCUUCAGUGGCGUCCCACAUUGGUGAUGGAUUAUGCUUGGCGUCUCCAAAAUGUGUCCCAGGUUGAUUCAACAUCUCUGAAGUCAUGUCUUUGUAGUCCAGUGGUUUCCUGAAUGAGGGGCCUUCACAGAUGCAAACGGUUCAGCUUUAGUCAGCCUGAGGACAGGAAGGAGAUCAUCUGUUCAGAAGACCACCCAGUGGAGGGGGGUGGCUCUUGAGGCGCAGGAUCCAUAUGGGGAUGGCCCCAAAUAAGAUCUUCCUGGAAAUGAAACUGUUCCUGAGGAGUCACGAUGCCUGGAGGGGACUGUUGAAUGUGUUCCAUGGUUCUCUGUGUCAGACUGAAGUUGUGUUUUAGUCGUUGAGAUGAGGAGCCCCCUCAUCUCUCCCUGGUGUUUCUCCUUCUGAAUCCGUCUCCAUCUUAAAGAACAUUCUAGUCCAUGUAACUGAUGUCACGACCGUUUCUCAAACACACGGUUUCCCCUGCGGGGGCGUGCCUGCAGACCUGUAGACUUCAGACAACUCUGUAUCCCAGUAUGCACCUCUGCUCACUCAGACCACACCCUCAUAAAUAAAGCAAUACUCAUGUGAUGAAGAUGCAGAGCUCAGGAGAGUAGCUGGAAAGAAGACUGAAGAUAUCAGAACCCAACCCAUUACUCCAGCUUACAACAAUAACUUUGAGCCUGUAACCAUUGUAACAAACCAUUAAAACCAACAUAAACCAAACACCUAAGUAACCCAUGAAACCUCCUUAAUACUCAGAUCAACCUUCAGCUAACAGGUUAACUCACCAGGAAGCCAAAAUACAUCAAUGUGCCCAAGAGUAAUGAGAAACUAUUGACUUACAGUUUGCAGUUCAUCUUCAUGGUCAAGUUGGGAUACUCACAGAACUGCAGUUAAAUAUCCAUGAUAGACCUUUGAAGGAAGGAACAGAUCACUCAUUGUCCCCAAACUUGGGCACUGUCCCACAGUUCAACAUCUACCAUCUCCAUUAAAUCAGAUAAAUGAAUGACAAUACAAAUUCAGGGC